GGAAACAUGACUUUAUUAGUGCUCCCACAGCUGAAAAGUCCCAUGAACAAAAAAUUUCCUUCUCUGUUCACUACACCAGAAGCAGCCACUGAACACCCACAGUGAUGAUCUUUGGCUGGGGCCUGGCUAUGGUACGGGACACUGAGCGACACAGGUGUCAGACAGCAGUGCUUCCUCCUGGGCAGACAUAUGUACAUGCAGCUCAUGUUAAAAAUGAGCUCCUGGGGCUGGGGAUUUAGCUCAGUGGUUCCAUUGCCUGCCUCGCAAGCCCAAGGUUGCAGGUUCGAUCCAAGGUACCAAAAAAACCAAACCUCCUAUUCAGCACUUGGGAGGUGGAGGCAGGAGGAUCCCUGUGAGUCUCAAGCCAGACUGGGCUACAAAAGUGAGUUCAAGGUCAGCCUGGACUACACAGUGAGAUUUUGUCUCAAAAAACCAAAAAAGAUGGGCCAGGGAUUUAGCUCAGUGGCACUGUGUCUGCCUCGAAAGUGCAAGGUCCUGAGUUCAAUCCUGGUACCCCUCACCAAAAAAACCAAAAAAGGAAAAAACCAAAAAACAGCUUAUUUCCCUGAUGGGAAAGAGCACACCUCAGUCUAUGCACAUGCCAUAAGAAGGCAUGGGGUGGCACACACACCCUGGGUGGGCCUUGGCCCAUAAGCCCCUUCCGACUUAACUGAAGCCCCCAAGUGCUGUGCCAAGGAUGAAGAAGUGUCCAGGGGGGUGAGAGUUGCCUGGGCCUGCUCCCUUGCUCCCCGUCUGUCAGGUCAAGACGUGUCAGGGUGGUGUUGCCAGUGCCGCGCGCUGACCUUUGUCAGCACUAGUGCAUUUCAGCAGAGCAACCCUCCUGCCUCUGCCGGUGUGGCACUUGGCUCUCAGCAAGCAGGAGACAGCGAUCCCUCUUCUCCUACAGGGAGAGCAGCACCUGCUCUGGCUGCGUCCUGGCCUUCUCCUGGCUUCUGGCCAUCCUGGCUCCGAACCUUUUCCUUGUACUCCUCUAAGGCGCAGCAGCCACUUGGCCCAGUAGUGGGAGCAGAGCUCGGCGUUCAGGAAGUGGGCAUGUGCGGGGGGAGCCAUCCUUGUAGGCCACCACGAUCAGGCCGCACUGCACCUGCGCAGAGAUGGGCGAUGCCAGGGUUCCUGUGAGCCCACAGCUCAGGUUUGUUACUUCAGGACCACAUCACCCUCAAGAGCGUCUCCUGACUACAGGAAAAUCUACCUCCAAGGUGGUGGUGACUAAAGACUGUACAUGGUGCUGGGUGUGGUGGCCCACGCCUGCAAUCCCAGUACUCAGGAGGCUGAGGCAGGGGCAUCACUGUGAAUUUGAGGCCAGCCUGGACUACACAGGGAGUUCAAGAUCACCCUGAACUACAUGGACGAGACCUUGACUCAAAAGCAUAAAGAAAUAAAGACUGCACCCAAGGCACAUGGGGAUACCAAGAUGCCAGGCACAACACUGAAGAAUGGACUAGGAGCAGGAGGAACAGAGGAAAGAAGCCAGGGAAGGAAGAAACGGUGGUUCUCAGGCGGGCGUGGGACCCCUGGGGUGGAAAGCACCACCUGACCUGGAAGCUGUAGUUGGCAUCGUGGUUCAGGGCACCCAUGUACGCCACCACCUGCAGUGGGUUAUCGUAUGUGUUCUGGAGGAAGGGCUUGGCUUCUCUGAUGUCUUCCAGUCGAUCACGCACAGCUUGCCUCUACGAUACCAGAGAAGUAUCUGCAUAUUGGGUCAGACC
This 1730-nucleotide long non-coding RNA is filed under the name Heterocephalus glaber (naked mole-rat). RNAcentral describes it as "lncRNA (ENSHGLG00000048742.1)". The record is from RNAcentral. Lineage: Eukaryota; Metazoa; Chordata; Mammalia; Rodentia; Bathyergidae.